RNAcentral lists this ribosomal RNA (116 nucleotides) under uncultured bacterium. RNAcentral describes it as "partial 16S ribosomal RNA". It matches the Rfam family "Bacterial small subunit ribosomal RNA", at positions 409 to 517 of the family's 1533-position model. The record is from RNAcentral.
AGAAGGCCUUCGGGUUGUAAAGUACUUUNNNNGAGGAGGAAGGUGUUGUGGUUAAUAACCGCAGCAAUUGACGUUACUCGCAGAAGAAGCACCGGCUAAAUCCGUGCCAGCAGCCG